Molecule: long non-coding RNA, 3578 nt
Organism: Panicum hallii
Lineage: Eukaryota; Viridiplantae; Streptophyta; Magnoliopsida; Poales; Poaceae
Exons: 5
Source: RefSeq, a predicted model, not a curated record
UGGGGUACUCGGGAUAUUUUCUUCCCGUAACCGCCGUGGAGUCGUGGCGGACCUGGGCUCCCUGGAGCUGGAGGCGCGAGGCAGCCACACGUGCCCCCGCCCCGCCCGCCGGUCGCCGCCACGGCUCGAACGUCUCUCCGAUCCCUCCGCGUUGAGCUAUCCACCCAACCCCUCCCAGAUUCCAGCCCCUGCCCUGCCCCUGCCCGGAUAGCAGGCGGGACGCCGGAGAGCCAUGAGGAGGACGCGUAUAAAACUGCGAAGCCCGGUGCCCAAAGUGAGGAGGGCGCUCGUUCUCGGAGUCGGAGAAGAUCGGGAGAGGGCACGCCGCCGGCGCCGCCGCGGCAGCUGAUCGCCCGAACCCCCACCCCACCCGCCUUGGCGUACUGGCAGCAAAGGUCAGUCAGCCAUCCCCCCACUUUCUCCACUUACGGCUUGAACCCUUCUUUUCUAUACCAUUCCUUGAUUGCCCUAUGCAUAAUUUCUUCUUUCCCGGGGAUUCAAUACGGGGUCGGAUUGGGGCGUGUAGUUCAUCCAGCUUUGUUUUGCCCCACUCAGUUCUGCACUGCACCUGUGGACACACUCUUAGCAUGCACGAAUUGCAGCAGGCCACUUUGCAACACGCGCGUGGGCCACGUGUGCUAAAAAUGUUUUUGCUCGUCAAAAGAAAGUACACUUUUUGAAGACAAUGAUAAAGUGUUUCUGCUAUCCCUGUCUUGACUUAUACUUUUCAUGCUUAUCUGUCGAAUUGGUGUCAGUUAGACUUGUUUUAAGUCUCUUCAUUCUCGUUAAGGCCAUCAGAAACAAGAUAGGAAUAUAUAAGAUGGCAAAAUCAUGGCUUGAAUUUUCGAUCCAAAGAUACAUAGACAGCCCUUUAUUCUAUAGCCGAGAAUAACUGUUUAAUUCCUAUAUUAGUAAUAAUGGAAAGUUCAAAAAAGUAGUACCCAAAUGAAUAUCAGAUUUCAAUGGGUGCCACUUUGUCAAGAACAGGGCGGUGUUAUUUUGUCAGAACUGCUAGACGCCUCCCUUCAUUUCUUAUCUUUUGUAUUUACAUCCAUCAAGUUGUUGUCUUAAUGGCAUUCAUCGGCACUUCGAGUCGUACUACUAUGGUUAGCUGGUGUCUCCAUAAAACUGUGGCUAUCGCUAUCAAUACAAGUUGGGCUUAUCCUGGAUCUGAAAAAUAAAAUCCACACUUCAUCAGUACUCAUAUUAUUUUUAACCAAGAACGGUGAUUCAAUCGAAACUUUUGAUGUGCCUUCAAAAUCAUUUGCUGAUUUUUUCCCUGCAGCUGCAACAGAGCAGCUUUUGUUGAGUUUCUGCAACUUAAAUAGACCUAUUUGUCUUGAAUUAUUGGCUGAUAGGGACUGGAGGAAAAUGACCCUUCUAUAUGCCUUGUACCAUUGUACCUCUCUUUCUCUUUGCAUCAUUCACUUCCUUUUUUCUUAGGUUUACAUCUACCACUUUUGCUUUGUCGGCCAAUAGUGCUGACCGAAAAGACAAGCACAUACACUUGGGUUGCAUCCGGUCAAUAUUUUCAUGGGUCUCCAACUCUCAAGUUCUCGACAUAGUUCUCUUUUUCAAGGAACAAAGGAAAUCAUAGUCUUCAUGCUAUAAUUUAUUGAUACGAUGGGCAGCACAUCUCACACGUUGUUGAUAUUUGAUGGUAGGAAGUCGAGGAAGUCCUGGAAGCUACUUUCCCUGUACAUUUCUGGGUGCUCCUCAUCAACCAGUUCCUCAGCACAGCGAACCUUUUCAUCCAUGGGGAGACCAUGAAUGCUGGCAAUAGAAAUUCUUGCUUCAUCAGGAUUGAGUACGGCUCGAUGGACAAGGGACUUGAUCUGACCAUUGCUCAAGACUUCCAGGUGAUCCCCAAUAUGGACGUGGAGGGCCCCAGGGACUACAGGGACAGCCGUCCAGGUGUUCUCGUCAUGGGGCAUCACUUCAAGUCCUGGGGAGCUCUGCAGCAGGAUGGUGAGGAAGCCAUAAUCGGAAUGGGCAGCCAAUCCAACCUUGUCACCUUGAUGUGAAAAUUGUGGGUAGUUGUUCAAUGCAAGGAACUGCAUUCCAUUCUCAAGUUUUUCUUGCAGGUUACCUAUACGUUGGCGGUUGCAUUGGCCAGUACUGUACCCAGUCUUCCAGAGGGUUGGCGUAGUGCUUUAGGAAUGACCUGGCUUUGCUGAUCCCGUCCCUCGAACUCGUGUCAUACCUGAUAGGCCGUCGGAUGUCGGUCGAUGCGAACAACUCUUUGUACUCCGGUGAAGUUUCAAAAAACUCCGAGGCGGCUUCAAGGGCGCCCUUCAUGAUGGAUUUGCUGACACCAUGGUUUACCACCUGGCAGCAUCAGUACAGAGUGCAGGGUGAGUUCAACGUUCAUUGUCAGCAAACAAGUGUCGGAGAAUAAGGAGCAGCAAGAAAGCAGCAGACACUAUAAGUCACUAACCUCGAAGCAUCCCUGCUUGCGGCACGCGCGCGCCAUGUCCUGGAUGGCAAGCGCCCGCGUGGCCGGGUCCUUGCUGAGCCUGCCAAGGUUGAUCACGGGCAGUGGCCACGACGACGCCGGCGGCAGCUGCCCAACCUGGCUUGCCAUGGAUGCUGGUGUGUUGCAGUGAAGCAGGUGCUGCAUGCCAGGAGCUGUAUUUAUAGGCCCUACCGGCUCUGCAGCUAAAAGCAGGAGGCCAGGAGCUGACACGGAGUGGUACAGCUGCCGGCCACUGUGCUGUGCAACAAAGCCUGGGCAAAUACCUUGUACGAAGACUUUUGAGCGCCCUGGAUGAUACAAGGCUUUCAGAAGAUUCGGUCCAGGAGCAGGCCGCGGCAUCCACUCUGCGCGCGCGCGCGUGCCCGUCCAGGUGAACAAGAUCUUCCCCCCAAGAGGCAGAUCGCUUCGGUUCCUAUCGCUUGGCUUCGGGAGUGGUCACCAGCUGUGACCAUUUUUCUGCUGUUCCCGCGCCAAGUUGCGGCCGGGCACAUUCAUCCCUCUUGCUAGUUGCUUGGCCAAUUCGUGUGUGGCCGAUGCGGACCGGACCCCAGAUAAUGCUUUGUUUUUGCCGCGGGGCUGCGGCGGUGGACGCCGAAUCCACGGCAAGUUGGGGCGCCGGCCCGGUCUGGGGCUGGAGAGGUUUCCGGUUUCGGCUGCUGUAUCUGUAUGCUGACAAAAGGGCUCUUUUGGGGGAGGGACAUCCAUCGACACAGCCCAGGCUUUUUGUCAGAGGCGGCAGGGCACAACGAAACUAUUUCUGUGGAUUGCGUGACUGGAGAUCUUUUUGGGCGCUGCGGCACGCGCCUCUUGUCGCACGAGUCAGUUGGCAACUUGGCAUUAUUUUUUUUAUAAGAAAAGAAGAACUUGGCAUUUUUGGAGCUGUAGCAGAUGAUCAAAGGGCAUUUCUUUAGGACUCGGAAAAAUUCUCUGAGACUGAAAUGGUUGUGCUAUCAGGAUGGAACCAAUAAGUUUUGUUGGACCAGCGGUGGGUGUGCACUGUGAUGUGCUUACCAGCUUAUGCUUUUAAUUUGACAUUAAUAUCAGGGUGGUGUGGAGCAUCUUGUACUCUGAUUGGAUAUUGAAAUAAUAAAAAUUUAGAUAA